This 239-nucleotide ribosomal RNA is filed under the name uncultured bacterium. Its description in RNAcentral is "partial 16S ribosomal RNA". It matches the Rfam family "Bacterial small subunit ribosomal RNA", at positions 96 to 334 of the family's 1533-position model. The record is from RNAcentral.
UGGCGAACGGGUGAGUAACGCGUGAGGAACCUGCCUCAAAGAGGGGGACAACAGUUGGAAAGACUGCUAAUACCGCAUAAGCCCACGGGUCGGCAUCGACCUGAGGGAAAAGGAGCAAUCCGCUUUGAGAUGGCCUCGCGUCCGAUUAGCUAGUUGGUGAGGUAACGGCCCACCAAGGCGACGAUCGGUAGCCGGACUGAGAGGUUGAACGGCCACAUUGGGACUGAGACACGGCCCAG